AUGUGGAUGUUUCCCUACCCAAAGUGGAAGGCGACCUCAAAGGCCCAGAGGUUGACAUCAAAGGACCCAAAGUGGACAUUGAUGNNNNNNNNNNNNNNNNNNNNNNNNNNNNNNNNNNNNNNNNUGAAAAUGCCCAAGUUCAGCAUGCCUGGCUUCAAAGCAGAGGGCCCUGAAGUGGAUGUGAACCUGCCUAAGGCUGACAUUGAUGUCAAAGGCCCCAAAGUUGACAUUGAGGCUCCAGAUGUGAGCAUUGAGGGUCCAGAAGGGAAACUGAAGGGUCCCAAGUUUAAGAUGCCUGACAUGCACUUCAAAGCCCCCAAGAUCUCCAUGCCUGAUGUGGACUUAAAUAUUAAGGGGCCCAAAGGAAAAGCAGAUGUGGAUGUAUCAUUGCCUGAGGUAGAAGGUGAAAUAAAAGUGCCAGAUGUGGACAUUAAAGGACCCAAAGUUGGCAUUGAUGCUCCAGAUGUUGAAGCUCAUGGACCAGACUGGCACCUUAAGAUGCCUAAAAUAAAAAUGCCCAAGUUCAGCAUGCCUGGCUUCAAAGGAGAGGGCCCUGAGGUGGAUGUGAACCUGCCUAAGGCUGACAUUGAGGUCUCAGGACCCAAGGUGGACAUUGGUGUUCCAGAUGUGAACAUUGAAGGUCCUGAUGCCAAACUGAAAGGACCAAAAUUUAAGAUGCCAGAAAUGAAUAUAAAGCCUCAGAAGAUAUCCAUGCCAGAUGUUAGCUUGAAUUUGAAAGGCCCUAAAGUGAAAGGAGAAUAUGAUGUCUCAGUUCCAAAAGUGGGAGGAGAAAUAAAAGCUCCUGCUGUUGACAUCAAAGGCCCUAAAGUAGAUGCACCAGAUGUGGACGUUCAUGGUCCAGACUGGCAUCUGAAGAUGCCCAAGGUGAAAAUGCCCAAGUUCAGCAUGCCUGGCUUCAAAGGAGAGGGCCCUGAAGUGGAUGUGAACCUGCCUAAGGCUGAUAUUGAGGUCUCAGGACCCAAGGUGGACAUUGAGGCUCCAGAUGUGAAUAUUGAAGGCCCAGAAGGGAAACUGAAGGGUCCCAAGUUCAAGAUGCCGAGCAUGAAUAUACAGACACAUAAAAUCUCUAUGCCUGAUGUUGGGCUUAAUCUGAAAGGACCUAAAGUGAAAAGUGAUGUAGAUGUUUCUCUUCCAAAAGUCGAAGGAGAUUUGAAAGGUCCUGAAGUUGAUGUUAAAGUCCCUAAGAUGGAUGUGGAUGUUGGUGAUAUUGAUAUUGAAGGUCCAGAAGGGAAACUGAAGGGCCCCAGGUUUAAGAUGCCUGACAUGCACUUCAAGGCCCCCAAGAUCUCCAUGCCUGACGUGGACUUACACUUGAAAGGCCCCAAAGUCAAGGGGGACGUGGAUGUGACGGUGCCCAAGAUAGAAGGUGAAGUGAAAGUUCCUGAAGUGGACAUCAAAGGCCCCAAAGUGGACAUUGAUGCUCCAGAUGUGGAUGUUCAUGGUCCAGACUGGCACCUGAAGAUGCCCAAGGUGAAAAUGCCCAAGUUCAGCAUGCCUGGCUUCAAAGGAGAGGGCCCUGAGGUGGAUGUGAAUCUACCAAAGGCUGACAUUGAGGUCUCAGGACCCAAGGUGGACAUUGAGACUCCAGAUGUGAAUAUUGAAGGUCCAGAUGCAAAGCUGAAGGGCCCCAAGUUCAAGAUGCCCAAGCUAAAUAUCAAGGCUCCCAAGAUUUCCAUGCCAGAUGUGGACUUGAAUUUGAAGGGGCCUAAGCUGAAAGGAGAGAUAGAUGCUUCUGUGCCAGAAAUGAAGGCUGAUCUCAGAGGUCCUCAAGUUGAUGUCAAAGGCCCCAGUGUGGAUGUGGAAGUGCCUGAUGUUGACCUGGAAUGUCCCGAUGCAAAGUUGAAGGGCCCCAAGUUCAAGAUGCCCGACAUGCACUUCAAGGCCCCCAAGAUCUCCAUGCCUGAUGUGGACUUACACUUGAAAGGCCCCAAAGUCAAGGGGGAUGUGGAUGUGACGGUGCCCAAACUGGAAGGAGAUUUGAAAGGCCCCAGUGUGAAUGUGGAAGUGCCUGAUGUUGACCUGGAAUGUCCCGAUGCAAAGUUGAAGGGCCCCAAGUUUAAAAUGCCUGACAUGCACUUCAAGGCCCCCAAGAUCUCCAUGCCUGAUGUGGACUUACACUUGAAAGGCCCCAAAGUCAAGGGGGAUGUGGAUGUGACGGUGCCCAAACUAGAAGGAGAUUUGAAAGGCCCCAGUGUGGAUGUGGAAGUGCCUGAUGUUGACCUGGAAUGUCCUGAUGCAAAGCUGAAGGGCCCCAAGUUCAAGAUGCCUGACAUGCACUUCAAGGCCCCCAAGAUCUCCAUGCCUGAUGUUGAUUUCAACUUAAAGGGUCCUAAAAUCAAAGGAGAUAUUGAUGUUUCAGUCCCAAAGCUUGAGGGGGAAUUAAAGGCUCCAGAACUGGAUGUCAAGGGCCCCAAAUUGGAUGCUGACAUGCCAGAAGUAGCUGUGGAAGGCCCAGAAGGUAAAUGGAAAAGUCCUAAAUUCAAGAUGCCAGAAAUGCACUUUAAAGCUCCAAAAAUCUCCAUGCCAGACAUUGAUCUUCACUUAAAGAGUCCAAAGAUAAAGGGGGAGAUUGAUGUAGAUGUCCCCAAAUUGGAAGGAGACCUCAAAGGGCCAAAUGUGGACAUGAGUGGGCCAGACAUUGAAAUUGAAGGACCAGAAGGCAAAUUGAAAGGCCCUAAGUUCAAAAUGCCUGAGAUGAACAUCAAAGCUCCUAAAAUCUCCAUGCCAGAUUUGCAUCUUAAGGGUCCCAAGGUAAAGGGAGAUGUGGAUGUUUCCCUACCCAAAGUGGAAGGAGACCUCAAAGGCCCAGAGGUUGACAUCAAAGGACCCAAAGUGGACAUUGAUGUUCCAGAUGUGGACGUUCAUGGUCCAGACUGGCACCUGAAGAUGCCCAAGAUGAAAAUGCCUAAGUUCAGCAUGCCUGGCUUCAAAGCAGAGGGCCCUGAAGUGGAUGUGAAUCUACCACAGGCUGACAUUGAGGUCUCAGGACCCAAAGUGGACAUUGAGGCUCCAGAUGUGAAUAUUGAAGGUCCAGAAGGGAAACUGAAGGGUCCCAAGUUCAAGAUGCCUGAGAUGAACAUCAAGGCUCCUAAAAUCUCCAUGCCUGAUUUGCAUCUUAAGGGUCCCAAAAUAAAGGGAGAUGUGGAUGUUUCCUUGCCCAAAGUGGAAGGCGACCUCAAAGGUCCAGAGGUUGAUAUUACAGGCCCUAAAGUGGACAUUGAUGUUCCUGAUGUUAGCAUUGAAGGUCCAGAGGGCAAACUGAAGGGCCCCAAGUUCAAGAUGCCUGAGAUGAACAUCAAAGCCCCCAAGAUCUCCAUGCCUGACAUUGAUCUUAACCUGAAAGGCCCCAAAAUGAAGGGUGAUGUGGACGUGUCUCUGCCCAAAAUGGAAGGUGAGAUUAAAGUUCCUGAAGUUGACAUCAAAGGACCCAAAGUGGACAUUGAUGUUCCAGAUGUGGACGUUCAUGGUCCAGAUUGGCAUCUAAAGAUGCCCAAGGUGAAAAUGCCCAAAUUCAGCAUGCCUGGCUUCAAAGCAGAGGGCCCUGAAGUGGAUGUGAACCUGCCUAAGGCUGACAUUGGUGUCUCAGGACCUAAAUUGGAUAUUGAAGGCCCUGAUGUAAACAUUGAAGGACCAGAAGGAAAGUUGAAAGGUCCUAAGUUCAAGAUGCCUGAGAUGAACAUCAAAGCUCCUAAAAUCUCCAUGCCUGAUUUGCAUCUUAAGGGUCCCAAAAUAAAGGGAGAUGUGGAUGUUUCCUUGCCCAAAGUGGAAGGAGACCUCAAAGGUCCAGAGGUUGAUAUUACAGGCCCUAAAGUGGACAUUGAUGUUCCUGAUGUUAGCAUUGAAGGUCCAGAGGGCAAACUGAAGGGCCCCAAGUUCAAGAUGCCUGAGAUGAACAUCAAAGCUCCUAAAAUCUCCAUGCCUGAUUUACAUCUUAAGGGCCCCAAAGUCAAGGGAGAUGUGGAUGUUUCCCUACCCAAAGUGGAAGGAGACCUCAAAGGCCCAGAGGUUGACAUCAAAGGACCCAAAGUGGACAUUGAUGUUCCAGAUGUGGACGUUCAUGGUCCAGAUUGGCAUCUGAAGAUGCCCAAGGUGAAAAUGCCCAAGUUCAGCAUGCCUGGCUUCAAAGGAGAAGGCCCUGAAGUGGAUGUGAACCUGCCUAAGGCUGACAUUGAGGUCUCAGGACCCCAGGUGGACAUCGAUACUCCUGACAUUGACAUCCAUGGUCCGGAAGGGAAACUGAAGGGCCCCAAGUUUAAGAUGCCUGAUCUUCACCUCAAGGCACCCAAGAUCUCAAUGCCAGAGGUUGAUCUGAACCUGAAAGGGCCAAAAGUGAAGGGUGAUGUGGAUAUUUCUCUGCCAAAAGUGGAAGGAGACUUCAAAGGCCCAGAGGUUGACAUCAAAGGCCCCAAAGUGGACAUUGAUGUUCCAGAUGUGGACGUUCAUGGUCCAGACUGGCACCUGAAGAUGCCCAAGAUGAAAAUGCCCAAGUUCAGCAUGCCUGGCUUCAAAGGAGAGGGCCCUGAAGUGGAUGUGAAUCUACCAAAGGCUGACAUUGAGGUCUCAGGACCCAAGGUGGACAUUGAUGUUCCAGAUGUGAAUAUUGAAGGUCCAGAAGGGAAACUGAAGGGUCCCAAGUUCAAGAUGCCUGAGAUGAACAUCAAGGCUCCCAAGAUCUCCAUGCCUGACUUUGAUUUGCAUCUGAAAGGCCCCAAAGUGAAGGGAGAUGUGGAUGCUUCCCUGCCUAAAAUGGAAGGUGAAUUUAAAGGCCCCAGUAUUGAUAUCAAGGGCCCCAGUGUGGAUAUUGACACUCCUGAUGUCAAUAUUGAAGGUCCAGAAGGAAAAUUAAAAGGACCCAAAUUUAAAAUGCCAGACAUGCACAUCAAAGCACCAAAGAUUUCCAUGCCUGACUUUGACUUAAACCUUAAAGGGCCCAAGGUAAAAGGAGAUGUGGACCUUGCAGUACCUAAGGUGGAAGGUGAUCUCAAAGGGCCAGAGAUAGACAUUGAGGGUCCCGAAGGAAAACUCAAAGGUCCCAAAUUUAAGAUGCCAGAUGUCCAUUUCAAAACCCCACAAAUUUCAAUGAGUGACAUUGAUUUGAACAUGAAAGGACCUAAGAUAAAGGGAGAUUUGGACGUUUCUAUUCCUAAACUAGAAGGGGAUUUGAAAGGUCCCAAAGUGGAUGUCAAAGGCCCCAAACUGGACAUUGAUACUCCUGACAUUGACAUCCAUGGUCCAGAAGGGAAGCUGAAGGGCCCCAAGUUUAAAAUGCCUGAUCUCCACCUCAAGGCACCCAAGAUCUCAAUGCCAGAGAUUGACCUGAACCUGAAAGGGCCAAAAGUGAAGGGUGAUGUGGAUGUUUCUCUUCCAAAAGUGGAAGGAGACCUCAAAGGCCCAGAAGUUGACAUCAAAGGCCCCAAAGUGGACAUUGAUGUUCCAGAUGUGGACGUUCAUGGUCCAGACUGGCAUCUGAAGAUGCCCAAGGUGAAAAUGCCCAAGUUCAGCAUGCCUGGCUUCAAAGGAGAGGGCCCUGAAGUGGAUGUGAACCUGCCUAAGGCUGACAUUGAGGUCUCAGGACCCAAGGUGGACAUUGAUGUUCCAGAUGUGAACAUUGAAGGUCCUGAUGCAAAGUUGAAGGGUCCCAAGUUCAAGAUGCCUGAGAUCAACAUCAAGGCUCCUAAGAUCUCCAUGCCUGAUGUGGAUCUGGAGUUAAAAGGACCAAAAGUAAAGGGAGACUUUGAUGUGUCUGUUCCUAAGAUUGAAGGUACACUCAAAGGACCUGAAGUAGACCUGAAAGGUCCAGGCCUAGAUUUCGAAGGCCCUGAUGCUAAACUUAGUGGUCCUAACUUGAAGAUGCCAUCAUUGGAUAUAUCUGCUCCUAAAGUAACUGGACCUGAUGUUAAUUUGCACCUCAAGACACCAAAAAUUGGAGUUUCUGGGCCCAAGUUAGGAGGUGAAUUGGACGUCAAGGGCCCCAAAGUUGAUUUAGAAACGCCAAGCUUAGAUGUCCACAUGGAGAGCCCAGAUAUUAAUAUUGAGGGGCCAGAUGUUAAAGUUCCAAAGUUUAAGAAACCCAAGUUUGGAUUUGGUGCAAAAAGCCCUAAAGCUGACAUCAAGACACCCUCGGUUGAUGUGACUGUCCCUGAAGCAGAGCUGAGUGUUGAGACUCCUGAAGUAAGUGUUGGCGGAAAGGGCAAGAAAAGCAAGUUUAAAAUGCCUAAAAUCCACAUGAGUGGUCCUAAAGUUAAGGCCAAAAAGCAGGGAUUUGAUUUGAAUGUUCCUGGAGGUGAGGUUGAUGCCAGCCUUAAGGCUCCUGAAGUGGAUAUUGGCGGGGCAGGUCCUGAUGUUGCACUCAAAGGUGAUGUCAAGUCUCCCAAAGUCAAGAAAACCAUGUUUGGGAAAAUGUAUUUCCCAGACGUAGAAUUUGAUAUUAAGUCACCUAAAUUUAAAGCAGAGGCUUCCCUACCUAGCCCCAAGAUGGAGGGUGAAAUCAAGGUACCUGACCUGGAUAUUUCUUCCCCGGGGAUUAAUGUGGAAGCUCCUGACAUUCAUGUGAAGGCUCCCAAGUUCACGGUCCCAGGUGUGGAUGUCUCAGGGCCGAAGAUAGAGGGCAACUUGAAAGGUCCUAAGGUGCAGGCAAACUUGGACACACCUGACAUCAGCAUCGAAGGCUCUGAUGCCAAAAUCAAAGCCCCCUCAUUUAGUGUUUCUGCCCCUCAGGUCUCCAUACCUGAUGUGAAUGUUCAGUUGAAAGGACCAAAGAUAAAGGGUGAUGUUCCCAGUGUGGGACUGGAAGGACCUGACAUAGAUUUGCAAAGUCCAGAAGGAAAAAUCAAGUUCCCUAAGUUUUCACUGCCCAAGAUUAGUGCCCCUAGUAUGAAAAUGGAAGGUGGGGGCACUGAGAUCUGUGCCCAGAUGCCCUCCUUUGAAGGAAGCUUGAGCACAUCAGAUGUUAAGUUUGAAGGGCCUGAUAUGUCUCUAAAAGGCCCAGGAGUGGACUUGCCUUCAGUGAAUCUCUCUAUGCCAAAAGUUUCUGGGCCUGAUCUUGACCUGAACUUGAAAGGACCAAGUUUGAAAGGAGACCUGGAUGCAUCCAGUCCCAGCAUGAAGCUGCAGACCCCAGGUCUUGACCUCAAAGGUGUUGGUGGAAAAGUACAGAUAGGAGGAGAUGGUGUGAAGGUGUCAGGGAUUGAUGCCACAACAGCACUUAAUGUGGGGGCACCAGACGUGACGCUGAAGGGACCAAGCCUACAGGGAGAUCUGGCUAUGUCUGGGGACAUCAAGUGCCCUAAAAUAUCCGUGGGUGCUCCUGAUCUCAGUUUGGAGGCCUCAGAGGGUGGUAUCAAACUUCCCCACAUGAAGCUGCCUCAGUUUGGCAUCUCCACUCCAGGGUCCGACUUGGACAUGAACAUCAAGGGGCCACAAGUUUGUGGAGAACUAAAGGGGCCGGGGAUGGAUGUGAACCUGAAGGGGCCCCAUGUCUCAGCUCCAAGCAUGGACUUUAACGUGGAAGGACCAAAAGUGAAGGGGAGCCUUGGGGCCGCUGGUGAACUGAAAGGCCCAGCAGUUGGGGGAAGUCUUCCAGGUAUCAGUGUUCAAGGCCUAGAAGGAAAUCUCCAAAUGCCUGGAAUUAAGGCUUCUGGGUGUGAUGUGAAACUCCCAACGGGGCAGCUUUCUGGUCCCGAAAUUAAAGGAGAUCUGAAAGGUUCAGGAAUAGGUCUGCAUGAUGUCAGCGUCAAGGGGCCUUCCUUUAACACAGCAUCACCUGAGUCAGAUUUUGGUGUCAGCUUGAAGGGCCCCAAAGUCAAAGGAGGUGUAGAUGUCUCAGGGGGUGUCAGUGUCCCAGAUAUCAACCUGGGUGAAGGGCAUAUGAGUGUCAAAGGCUCUGGGGUUGAGUGGAAGGGACCCCAGGUCUCCUCCUCUCUAAACUUGGAUACAUCUAAACUUGCUGGGAACCUUCAUUUCUCAGGACCAAAGAUAGAAGGCGGUGUGAAAGGAGGCCAGAUUGGACUCCAAGGUCCUGGGCUGAGUGUGUCUGGGCCUCAGGGUCACUUGGAAAGUGGAUCUGGAAAAGUAACGUUCCCCAAGAUGAAGAUCCCCAAAUUUACCUUCUCUGGCCGUGAGCUUGUUGGCAGAGAAGUAGGGGUGGAUGUCAACUUCCCUAAAGUAGAGGCCAAUGUGCAGGCUGGUGCAGAAGGUGACUGGGAAGAGUCUGAAGUAAAACUUAAAAAAUCCAAAAUCAAAAUGCCGAAGUUUAAUUUUUCCAAGCCUAAAGGGAAAGGUGGUGUCACUGGCUCACCAGAAGCAUCCAUUUCUGGGUCCAAAGGGGACCUGAAGAGCUCAAAGGCCAGCUUGGGCUCUCUGGAAGGAGAAGCAGAUGCUGAAGCAUCUUCACCAAAAGGCAAAUUCUCCCUGUUUAAAAGCAAGAAACCAAGACACCGCUCCAACUCCUUCAGCGAUGAGAGGGAGUUCUCUGCGCCUUCCACCCCAACUGGGACUUUGGAAUUUGCAGGUGGAGAAGUUAAAGGCAAACAUGGAAAGCUGAAAUUUGGUACCUUUGGUGGGUUGGGUUCAAAGAGCAAAGGUCAUUAUGAGGUGACAGGGAGUGAUGAUGAGGCAGUCAAGUUACAGGGGAGUGGAGUGUCCUUGGCCUCCAAGAAGUCCCGGCUGUCUUCCUCCUCCAGCAAUGACAGUGGGCCUAAGGUUGGCAUCCAGCUACCUGAAGUAGAACUAUCAAUUUCCACAAAGAAAGAGUAGUGUGCCUUGAAUGUGUGUACAUAUAUAUAUAUAAAUACAUCAGCCUUGGGUGUGUUUGUAUAUAAAUUCCAAAGAGAAACACCCCAACAGCCUCAGCAAUAAUAGAGAUCUUGCCUCCACCAGUGGCAAGUGCUGACAAACCAAGUGCCUCUAGGCUCCUGGGACUCUGCAGCUAGGUAAAGGGUUCUAAGUUCAUCUGGCCCAUGUGCAAAGUCAACAGUAUUUGCCUUAAGAUUUCAGCUUUUGGUUUCUUUCUUUCUUUCUUUUUCUUUUCUUUUUUGCAUUGAACGCUGAGAGCCCGUGUUUACUAAGCAAGCUUUGUGUUUAUCAUCCUUAUUUUUACUGAGCAUUGUUAGUACCUGGGUAAUGGAAACCCACUUUUUUUUUUCAUUGUAAUGACUUUGGGGACUUUUGUGAGUAAAAGAGGGUGGGAUAAAACAUAGCAGAGGGGGCCAGGUCUUUGUUGCUCUGAAGGUUGGAAAUGUACAAACAGCACCACCUUGGCAUGGCUCAGAGGAGGUGGCAGCCAACCUCUACAGAGAACAGUUUCUCAGUUCUCUGUAGCAUGAAUUUUUAUCCCCAGGUGUGUUAGUUCCAGCCUAGUUUGGUGCUCAAGGUGAGAGGGGGAUUUGAAUAUGUUUGCAAACUAUCCAACCCAUCCCAUCAAGGUGAGGGGCUUCCAUUCUGGGUUGGUAAGAAAAGUGUUCAUUCAUGACUGCCAUGUUCUGAUUCCUUUUAACAAAUGUCAUCGUGAUUAAGGAAAUAUCUGGCACUUUAAUGGCAAAUUAAUUCAGAAUGUAAGAAAGUUGAUGCUGUACAAGGCAAAUAAAGCCAUUUAUUAACCCUGAUGUAUUCUGCUCCUGCAUUUUGUGUUGAGGGGAUGGAGCUAAGGGAGACUGCACACACAGCCCUCACUAUUUGGACUUGAUCCACCCAAUGGCAUUGCUAGGUUUGCUGGUGGCUUUAAGGUGUGACCUCUGCACAGGUACUGGGAGGAAGUCUUUGCUUCUUGAUUCUCAUGGCAGACUGGCCACAUCACUGCUGAGCAAUCAAGAGUCGCCAGUGGCCAUUACUCACUAUAGAAUGCCUACCUUUGCACGAGCAAGGCAUUAAAGGGGUGGGGGGCGGGGCUGAGGAUGUAUGAGAGCCUGGGUUAAACCCCCAGAAACUCUGUAAGACCUGGUGUGGUGGGUCACAGCUGCAAUUCCAACACAUGGGGGUGGAGGUAGGAGGACUCUCUUUUCUUUCCUUCCCUUUUCUUUUCUUUCAUUUUCCUUCCUUCCUUCUUUCUUUUUUUUUUUUUUUGUAUCAUUGAGACAUGCAUUUUGUGUUUUGAGACACACUGUAGCCAAGUAUCUUAGGCUGUCCUGGAAAUCACACUAUAGUCUCAGCUGGCCUUGAAUUUAACACAACCUUCCUGUCUCAGCAUCUUGAGUGUUGGGGUUUCAAGUGUGAGCCAUUACACCCACAUACAGGGCUGGGAAGAUAACCACUGGGGUGUUGUGGGAGGAUUCCCUGGACUGAACUACCCAAGCUGUCCCAUUGUACAUCAAUUCAUUUAUUUUUAGCUUGAGGAAGGGGAGGUAUAGACUAGUAUGGUCUGGAAUGUCCACUCAUUCAGUAAAUACUUUUUGAGCACCAUGGCUAGAUGCUGUCCAGUAUUUUCAAAACCCUCUUCUGCUGACCAAAUGAUGUAAUGCAUAUAAAAAUCCAGAAUGUUUUGAACUCUGAAAAAAGGGGUGGGGUUGGGGGGAUGACACAGCUAGUGGAGAUGAUGAGGCCCCCCAGUCCUCUGGGUGAUAAUUUACUGGCUGGGACAGUUGGGAGUCCUGGGUAGAAUGGGUAGGGACUAACUGGACAUUAAACCUUAAGGCGUCUCACAGGUGUUCUCAUAUAAGGCUCAGGCUGGAGACAGUGACUACAGAACAGGAGGUCUCCAUCUUACAGGGGCAUCACCACAGAAGGAGCAGCAUGGAAGGAGGCAUGAAGGGCUGGAGAGUAACUUCUGUUCUGCAUCUUCCUCUGGACUGCUGGCAUCACGGUCCUGUAUGCUACCACUCUGGUUUAGGCAGUGCUGGGGAUUGAACCCACUAUGAACCUCUGAUAUGCUAGGCUGACACUACCCAAUAUGCUACAUCCCCAGAAGUAAUAUUUUUGUUCUUUCUCUGUUGUGACUGCAUUCAGAGAUAACUAUGCAUUAAAAAAGGAUAAUUUGGACUAGUGGGUGCAGUGGGUAAGUGAUUGCUGCAAAAAGCCUGAUGACCUGAGUUUGAUCCCUGGGAUCCACACGGUAGAAGGAGAGAACUGACUCCUGCAGGUUGUUCUCUGACUUCCAGGCAAACACACACAAAAUGUAAGAAGGAGGUUAAGUUUUUAAAAAGGAAAAGAAGACUAUUUCCUUGGGGAAACAGAGUUUUCUCAUUUUUGCAAAGAGCCAAAGGGACUGGAAGAUGCUGCAGAGGUCCCAGGAUCCUCAAAAGAGUUCUGGCCUUGGAGUCGCUGGGAUUAAUCUCCCAUGUUGGGUAUAUUAGGGUCCAUUAUGAGCCCCUCGUGACUUCCUGGUAAUGUGGAUAAGGCAUUAGAGUCUCUAGGUCCUUGACACUUCCCACAGCCCAUGAUCUCUUUGGAAGCAGGCUGGAGAGUUAGGUGGAUGGGUCAUUUUGGGUGGAAAGCAAGGUUUGGUUGCAACACUGAGUGAUUAUUUUCCUGUGUGGUAGAGAAUUGUUUGAAAUGUUUUGAGCAGAAGUGUCAGUGCUGAAGUGCUAAGUCUCCAGCCUCCUAGACCAAAAUGGGCAGCCCCUACCAGGGCUUGCAAGAGGCUAAUGCACAGCCUAUUUCAGAGUACCAUUUGAGCUGUGAGGUUAGGAAAUGCAACCCCGGGUGACUCAGCUAAGCAUGCAACUGAAGGUGUUAGUUCCUCCUCCAUCCUUCCUUUUAUCAUCCCCGACACCCUCCAGGGUCUCACUAUGAAGCUCUGACUGGCCUGAAACUCAUUAUGUAGACCAGGCUGGCCUCAAACUCAGAGAUCUGCCCGCCUCUGCAUUCUGAGUGCUGGGAUUAAAGGCAUGGUCAGCACAUGGUCUCCAAUUCUUAAAUGAUUUUCUUAUUUACUUUAAUAUCUCUCUGUAUAGAUACUAUAAUAAUCCUCUUUUUUUUUUUUUUUUUUGCUGAGUUGUUCUGUAGAUAUCAUAGCAUUUUAAUCCCCAAGUGUUUCAGUAUAUGUGGACAUUUCCUUAUGCAACCCAACAUAAAAUUAUAUUCAGUAAAUUUCACAUUGACCUAUUACUCAAUUUAUCAUCCAUUCAUACAUUUCUUGAUUACCCCUAUAGUUUCUUUAACAGAGCUGAACUUUCCUUCCAGUUAGCUUUCAACCAUCUGAUUCCCCCUUGGAAUUUACUUGUCUUCUUCUCUAUUUUCUCAGUCUAUUAUUUUUUGUUUUUAAUGCUGUCUGACACAGUCUCACCCUUGUUGCCUAGACUGUCCUGAGACUUUCUAUGUAUGAUUGGCCUCACAACUAAAGCUGAUCCUACUGCCUCAGCCUCUCAGAUUCUGGGAUUGCAGUUAUAAGCUACUAUUGCUUCAAUUUAGGUCUCACUGUGUAACUCCGGCUGGCCUGGAAAGUCCCUUUAUAGUUAGGGCUGGCCUCAAACUCACAAUUCUUCUGCCUUUGCCUACCAAAGUUUAUACAACCACAUCCAGAAGCUGUAAUUUUUUUUUUAAUUGUGUGUGUGUGUGUGUGUGUGUGUGUGUCUCAAGUGUGGAAGUCAGUGGACAUGACUUGGGACAAAGGGACCAUGUGUUCUUACAGACUGAACUCAGGUUCUCAGGCUUGGCAGCAGGCCAAGGCACGGGCGUUGAUCUUUUUGAAGGGUAAGGAGCCAGUUGUUUCGUAGCCAUGUCCCUUAGUCUGGUGUGUCUGAUGAUGUCCCUCAUGCUCACAUCAGGUGAUGGAUGCAUUUGGGGAGAGGACACUCACAGAAGUAAUGUUGGGUGCAUUGUAGCUCAUCCUUCAGAAGGCAUGGAAGUGUGCUAAGUCCACCU
This 12816-nucleotide long non-coding RNA is filed under the name Cricetulus griseus (Chinese hamster). Its description in RNAcentral is "lncRNA (ENSCGRG00000024186.1)". Lineage: Eukaryota; Metazoa; Chordata; Mammalia; Rodentia; Cricetidae. The record is from RNAcentral.